Molecule: transfer RNA, 73 nt
Filed under: Felis catus (domestic cat)
Lineage: Eukaryota; Metazoa; Chordata; Mammalia; Carnivora; Felidae
Rfam family: tRNA
About the family: Transfer RNA (tRNA) molecules are approximately 80 nucleotides in length.
Source: Rfam by way of RNAcentral
GCCUGGGUGGCUCACUCAAUGGAGCAUGAAAUUGUUGAUUUCAGGGUUGUGGGUUCAAGCCCAACGUUGGGUA